AAAUGGGAGUAGACAACAGGGAUUGCCCCAGUAACGGCGAGUGAAGCGGCAACAGCUCAAAUUUGAAAUCUGGCUCCUAGAGCCCGAGUUGUAAUUUGUAGAGGAUGCUUUUGAUGCGGUGCCUUCCGAGUUCCCUGGAACGGGACGCCAUAGAGGGUGAGAGCCCCGUCUGGUCGGAUGCCAAAUCUCUGUAAAGCUCCUUCGACGAGUCGAGUAGUUUGGGAAUGCUGCUCAAAAUGGGAGGUAUAUGUCUUCUAAAGCUAAAUACCGGCCAGAGACCGAUAGCGCACAAGUAGAGUGAUCGAAAGAUGAAAAGCACUUUGAAAAGAGGGUUAAAUAGUACGUGAAAUUGUUGAAAGGGAAGCGCCUAUGACCAGACUUGGGCCCGGUGAAUCAUCCAGCGUUCUCGCUGGUGCACUUUGCCGGGCACAGGCCAGCAUCAGUUUGUCUUGGGGGAAAAAGGCUUUGGGAACGUGGCUCCUUCGGGAGUGUUAUAGACCAUUGCAUAAUACCCUGAGAUGGACUGAGGUUCGCGCAUCUGCAAGGAUGCUGGCGUAAUGGUCAUCAGCGACCCGUCUUGAAACACGGACCAAGGAGUCGUCUUCGUAUGCGAGUGUUCGGGUGUAAAACCCCUACGCGUAAUGAAAGUGAACGCAGGUGAGAGCUUCGGCGCAUCAUCGACCGAUCCUGAUGUUCUCGGAUGGAUUUGAGUAAGAGCAUACGGGGCCGGACCCGAAAGAAGGUGAACUAUUCCUGUAUAGGGUGAAGCCAGAGGAAACUCUGGUGGAGGCUCGCAGCGGUUCUGACGUGCGAAUCGAUCGUCAAAUAUGGGAAUGGGGGCGAAAGACUAAUCGAACCUUCUAGUAGCUGGUUUCCGCCGAAGUCUCCCUCUCAGGAAA
This 899-nucleotide ribosomal RNA is filed under the name Simplicillium sp. Its description in RNAcentral is "partial large subunit ribosomal RNA". It matches the Rfam family "Eukaryotic large subunit ribosomal RNA", at positions 48 to 980 of the family's 3401-position model. Lineage: Eukaryota; Fungi; Ascomycota; Sordariomycetes; Hypocreales; Cordycipitaceae. The record is from RNAcentral.